This 440-nucleotide ribosomal RNA is filed under the name uncultured bacterium. RNAcentral's name for it is "partial 16S ribosomal RNA". It matches the Rfam family "Bacterial small subunit ribosomal RNA", at positions 338 to 795 of the family's 1533-position model. The record is from RNAcentral.
CCUACGGGUGGCAGCAGUGGGGAAUAUUGCACAAUGGGGGAAACCCUGAUGCAGCGACGCCGCGUGAGUGAAGAAGUAAUUCGUUAUGUAAAGCUCUAUCAGCAGGGAAGAAAAUGACGGUACCUGAGUAAGAAGCUACGGCUAACUACGUGCCAGCAGCCGCGGUAAUACGUAGGGGGCAAGCGUUAUCCGGAUUGACUGGGUGGAAAGGGAGCGUAGACGGAAGUGCAAGUCUGGAGUGAAAGGCGGGGGCUCAACCCCCGGACUGCUCUGGAAACGGUACGGCUGGAGUGCAGGAGGGGUAAGUGGAAUUCCUAGUGUAGCGGUGAAAUGCGUAGAUAUUAGGAGGAACACCAGUGGCGAAGGCAGCUUACUGGACUGUAACUGACGUUGAGGCUCGAAAGCGUGGGGAGCAAACAGGAUUAGAUACCCCAGUAGUC